RNAcentral lists this long non-coding RNA (596 nucleotides) under Homo sapiens (human). RNAcentral describes it as "non-protein coding lnc-DHX58-1:1". Lineage: Eukaryota; Metazoa; Chordata; Mammalia; Primates; Hominidae. The record is from RNAcentral.
CAACCGGCGGGUGUUGCUGUGGCUCGUGGGGCUGCAGAAUGUCUUUUCCCACCAGCUGCCGCGCAUGCCUAAGGAGUAUAUCGCCCGCCUCGUCUUUGACCCGUGCGUCCCCCAGAGAGCCCCUCCCCCAGGGCAGCACACCCAGUUCCCUUCCUCCUCGGCCUCUUCACUCCUCAAAAUUGGGGAUCCCCUGCUCCCCACUUCUGAGGUUCAUCCUUUGAGCAUUCUUACUUCUCACUGCCCAACCCUGACUACAGCUCAGACUUCCAGGGCUCUGGGGACCUGAAGGGGACAGUCAGGGGCUAUGACAUGCCCCCCUCUCUCUUAGGAAGCACAAGACUCUGGCCUUGAUCAAGGAUGGGCGGGUCAUCGGUGGCAUCUGCUUCCGCAUGUUUCCCACCCAGGGCUUCACGGAGAUUGUCUUCUGUGCUGUCACCUCGAAUGAGCAGGUCAAGGGUUAUGGGACCCACCUGAUGAACCACCUGAAGGAGUAUCACAUCAAGCACAACAUUCUCUACUUCCUCACCUACGCCGACGAGUACGCCAUCGGCUACUUCAAAAAGCAGGUGACCCGUAGCCUCGUCCCACACCGGUCC